RNAcentral lists this ribosomal RNA (424 nucleotides) under uncultured bacterium. Its description in RNAcentral is "partial 16S ribosomal RNA". It matches the Rfam family "Bacterial small subunit ribosomal RNA", at positions 360 to 776 of the family's 1533-position model. The record is from RNAcentral.
AAUAUUGGACAAUGGGCGAAAGCCUGAUCCAGCCAUGCCGCGUGUGUGAAGAAGGUCNNNGGAUUNUAAAGCAAUUUAGGUUGNGACNAGGGGCAGUAAGCUAAUACCUUGCAAUUUUGACGUUACCAACUGAAUAAGCACCGGCUAACUUCGUGCCAGCAGCCGCGGUAAUACGAAGGGUGCAAGCGUUAAUCGGAGUUACUGGGCGUAAAGCGAGCAUAGGUGGUUCGUUAAGUUGGAAGUGAAAGCCCCGGGCUUAACCUGGGAAUUGCUUUCAAAACUGACGAGCUAGAGUACGGUAUAGGGUAGUGGAAUUUCCUGUGUAGCGGUGAAAUGCGUAGAUAUAGGAAGGAACAUCAGUGGCGAAGGCGACUACCUGGACUGAUACUGACACUGAGGUGCGAAAGCGUGGGGAGCAAACAGG